GCAGUCGACGAUUAAGACUUCCCNNNNNGGAAGUGUAUAAAGUGGCGCACGGGUGAGUAACACGUAAGUAAUCUACCCUCGAGUGGGGAAUAACAUCGGGAAACCGAUGCUAAUACCGCAUAACGCAGCGGCACCGCAAGGUGACAGUUGUUAAAGGAGCAAUCCGCUUGAGGAGGAGCUUGCGGCAGAUUAGCUAGUUGGUGAGGUAAUGGCUCACCAAGGCGACGAUCUGUAUCCGGCCUGAGAGGGCGGUCGGACACACUGACACUGAAUAACGGGUCAGACUCCUACGGGAGGCAGCAGUCGGGAAUUUUGGGCAAUGGGCGAAAGCCUGACCCAGCAACGCCGCGUGAGGGAUGAAGUAUUUCGGUAUGUAAACCUCGAAAGAAUGGGAAGAAUAAAUGACGGUACCAUUUAUAAGCUCCGGCUAACUACGUGCCAGCAGCCGCGGUAAUACGUAGGGAGCAAGCGUUGUUCGGAUUUACUGGGCGUAAAGGGCGCGUAGGCGGCGCGGUAAGUCACUUGUGAAAUCUCUGAGCUUAACUCAGAACGGCCAAGUGAUACUGCUGUGCUAGAGUGCGGAAGANGCAACCGGAAUUCUUGGUGUAGCGGUGAAAUGCGUAGAUAUCAAGAGGAACACCUGAGGCGAANGCGGGUUGCUGGGCCGACACUGACGCUGAUGCGCGAAAGCCAGGGGAGCAAACGGGAUUAGAUACCCCGGUAGUCCUGGCCCUAAACGAUGAAUACUUGGUGUCUGGAGUUUCAAUGCUCCGGGUGCCGUCGCUAACGUUUUAAGUAUUCCGCCUGGGGAGUACGCUCGCAAGAGUGAAACUCAAAGGAAUUGACGGGGACCCGCACAAGCGGNGGA
This 868-nucleotide ribosomal RNA is filed under the name uncultured bacterium. RNAcentral describes it as "bacterial SSU rRNA". It matches the Rfam family "Bacterial small subunit ribosomal RNA", at positions 57 to 936 of the family's 1533-position model. The record is from RNAcentral.